Cavia porcellus (domestic guinea pig) is the source of this 135-nucleotide small nuclear RNA. RefSeq annotates it as U4 spliceosomal RNA. The record is from RefSeq and is a predicted model, not a curated record. Lineage: Eukaryota; Metazoa; Chordata; Mammalia; Rodentia; Caviidae. The transcript has a single exon.
AGGUUUGUACAGUGGCAAUAUUGUAAGCAAUGAAGUUUAUCUGAGACACAAUUAUUGCUAAUUGAAAACUUUUCCCAAAAAUCAACCAUGACAGCUUGAAAAAUGAGAAAAUCCUAAAAUAACAGUUUGAUAGGG